This 468-nucleotide ribosomal RNA is filed under the name uncultured bacterium. RNAcentral's name for it is "partial 16S ribosomal RNA". It matches the Rfam family "Bacterial small subunit ribosomal RNA", at positions 28 to 507 of the family's 1533-position model. The record is from RNAcentral.
GACGAACGCUGGCGGCGUGCUUAACACAUGCAAGUCGAACGGAAAGGCCCGGCUUUUGUGGGGUGCUCGUGUGGCGAACGCGUGAGUAACACGUGUGUAACCUGCCCUUGUCUUUGGGAUAACUUCAGGAAACUGGGGCUCAUACCGGAUAGGAGCUCUUGCUGCAUAGUGUGCGUUGGAAAGUUUCGGCGGUUCGGGCUGGAAUCGCAGCUUAUCCGCUUGUUGGUGGGGUAGUGGCUUACCAAGGUUUUGACGGAUAGCCUGCCUGGGAGGGUUAACGGCCACAAUGGGACUGAGAUACGGAGCAGUCGCGUACGGGCGGCAGCAGUGGGAAGCAUUGCACAAUGGGCGGAAGCCUGAGACGACAGCGCCGCGUGCGGGAUGACCGGCUACGAGGGGUGAACAGCUUUCGCCUUUGCCGAGGAGGGAGUGACGGUAAUGGGUAAAGAAGCAACGGCUAACUACGUG